Molecule: ribosomal RNA, 1324 nt
Filed under: Oerskovia turbata
Lineage: Bacteria; Bacillati; Actinomycetota; Actinomycetes; Micrococcales; Cellulomonadaceae
Description: bacterial SSU rRNA
Rfam family: Bacterial small subunit ribosomal RNA
Source: RNAcentral
AGCUUGCUGGGUGGAUCAGUGGCGAACGGGUGAGUAACACGUGAGCAACCUGCCCCAGACUUCGGGAUAAGCCUUGGAAACGAGGUCUAAUACUGGAUAUGAGGUCACAUCGCAUGGUGUGGUCUGGAAAGAUUUAUCGGUCUGGGAUGGGCUCGCGGCCUAUCAGCUUGUUGGUGGGGUAGUGGCCUACCAAGGCGACGACGGGUAGCCGGCCUGAGAGGGCGACCGGCCACACUGGGACUGAGACACGGCCCAGACUCCUACGGGAGGCAGCAGUGGGGAAUAUUGCACAAUGGGCGCAAGCCUGAUGCAGCGACGCCGCGUGAGGGAUGAAGGCCUUCGGGUUGUAAACCUCUUUCAGCAGGGAAGAAGCGCAAGUGACGGUACCUGCAGAAGAAGCGCCGGCUAACUACGUGCCAGCAGCCGCGGUAAUACGUAGGGCGCAAGCGUUGUCCGGAAUUAUUGGGCGUAAAGAGCUCGUAGGCGGUCUGUCGCGUCUGGUGUGAAAACUCAAGGCUCAACCUUGAGCUUGCAUCGGGUACGGGCAGACUAGAGUGCGGUAGGGGAGACUGGAAUUCCUGGUGUAGCGGUGGAAUGCGCAGAUAUCAGGAGGAACACCGAUGGCGAAGGCAGGUCUCUGGGCCGCAACUGACGCUGAGGAGCGAAAGCAUGGGGAGCGAACAGGAUUAGAUACCCUGGUAGUCCAUGCCGUAAACGUUGGGCACUAGGUGUGGGGCUCAUUCCACGAGUUCCGUGCCGCAGCAAACGCAUUAAGUGCCCCGCCUGGGGAGUACGGCCGCAAGGCUAAAACUCAAAGGAAUUGACGGGGGCCCGCACAAGCGGCGGAGCAUGCGGAUUAAUUCGAUGCAACGCGAAGAACCUUACCAAGGCUUGACAUACACCGGAAACUUCCAGAGAUGGUUGCCCCGCAAGGUCGGUGUACAGGUGGUGCAUGGUUGUCGUCAGCUCGUGUCGUGAGAUGUUGGGUUAAGUCCCGCAACGAGCGCAACCCUCGUCCUAUGUUGCCAGCACGUGAUGGUGGGGACUCAUAGGAGACUGCCGGGGUCAACUCGGAGGAAGGUGGGGAUGACGUCAAAUCAUCAUGCCCCUUAUGUCUUGGGCUUCACGCAUGCUACAAUGGCCGGUACAAAGGGCUGCGAUACCGUAAGGUGGAGCGAAUCCCAAAAAGCCGGUCUCAGUUCGGAUUGGGGUCUGCAACUCGACCCCAUGAAGUCGGAGUCGCUAGUAAUCGCAGAUCAGCAACGCUGCGGUGAAUACGUUCCCGGGCCUUGUACACACCGCCCGUCAAGUCACGAAAGUCGGU